Molecule: transfer RNA, 65 nt
Filed under: marine eukaryotic metagenome
Rfam family: tRNA
About the family: Transfer RNA (tRNA) molecules are approximately 80 nucleotides in length. Their secondary structure includes four short double-helical elements and three loops (D, anti-codon, and T loops).
Source: RNAcentral
CUAGUAGCUCAGCGGUCAGAGCACGCGACUCAUAAUCGUUUGGUCGCAGGUUCAAAUCCUGCCUA